This 84-nucleotide transfer RNA is filed under the name Erysipelothrix larvae. RNAcentral's name for it is "tRNA-Tyr". It matches the Rfam family "tRNA". Rfam says of the family: Transfer RNA (tRNA) molecules are approximately 80 nucleotides in length. Their secondary structure includes four short double-helical elements and three loops (D, anti-codon, and T loops). The record is from RNAcentral. Lineage: Bacteria; Bacillati; Bacillota; Erysipelotrichia; Erysipelotrichales; Erysipelotrichaceae.
GGGUAGGUAGCGAAGAGGCUAAACGCGGUAGACUGUAAAUCUACUCCUUAGGGUUCGGCGGUUCGAAUCCGUCCCUGCCCACCA